CGUGCACCGGUGGGGUCCCUCGGCCUGGCCUGCACCCUCUUGCAGUCCGGGACCCCUUGGGGGAUGUCAGAGAGCUGGUUUCAGCCCGAUCCUGCAGGCCAGGCUGAGGGACCCCACUGGUGCACA
Molecule: microRNA precursor, 126 nt
Filed under: Myotis brandtii (Brandt's bat)
Lineage: Eukaryota; Metazoa; Chordata; Mammalia; Chiroptera; Vespertilionidae
Description: mir-9193 microRNA precursor family
Rfam family: mir-9193 microRNA precursor family
Source: Rfam by way of RNAcentral